GCCUGGGUGGCUCAGUCGGUUAAGCGUCUGACUUCGGCUCAGGUCAUGACCUCACAGUUUGUGAGUUCAAGCCCCGCAUCGGGCU
RNAcentral lists this transfer RNA (85 nucleotides) under Felis catus (domestic cat). It matches the Rfam family "tRNA". Rfam says of the family: Transfer RNA (tRNA) molecules are approximately 80 nucleotides in length. Their secondary structure includes four short double-helical elements and three loops (D, anti-codon, and T loops). Lineage: Eukaryota; Metazoa; Chordata; Mammalia; Carnivora; Felidae. The record is from Rfam by way of RNAcentral.